Vicugna pacos (alpaca) is the source of this 101-nucleotide non-coding RNA. Lineage: Eukaryota; Metazoa; Chordata; Mammalia; Artiodactyla; Camelidae. The record is from RefSeq and is a predicted model, not a curated record.
UGUAUGCUGUUCUGCCCCUGGAUCCUGACACAGAGCUCCUGAAAGUCUUGUAAUUUCCUGAGUGAUAAGAACACUAGGAGCAUCUUUUGUUCCAGUCUUUA